AGAAAAACUAUAAAUCAAUAGUAUUAAUAUAAAAUUUUAUCCCAAAAACUCAGCAUUAAAUGCAUAAACAAAAAAACAAACAAACCCUAAACCAUAUAAUCCUAAGCAUUAUUCUAAACCAAACAUUAAACCCAACAUAAACUAAAUGCUAAACCUUUUCUACUGCCAAAAACCCUAAAUCCUACCUAACCCUAAACCCUACAUAAACCUAGACCUUAACCCUAUCUAACCCUAAACCCUACAUAAACCUAACCCUAAACCCUUCAUACUACCUAAACCCUAAACCUACCUAACUCUAAACGUAAACCCUACCUAACCCUAAACCCUAUUUAACCCUAAACCCUUCCUAACCCUAAAACCCUACCUAAAACCUAACCCUACCUAACCCUAACCCUAAACCCCACCUACCUUAAACCCUACCUAAACCCUACUAACCCUAAACCCCACCUACCUUAAACCCUACCUAACCCUAAACCCUACUAACCCUAAACCCUACCUAACCCUAACCCUACAUAACCCUAAACCCUACUAACCCUACCUAACCUAAACCCUACUUAACCUAAACCCUUUCUAACCCUAAACCCUACCUAACCCUAAACCCUACUGACCCUAAACCUUACUAACCCUAAACCCUACCUAACCCUAAACCCUACCGAACCCUAAACCCUACCUAAUUCUAAACCCUACCUAACCCUAAACCCAACCUAACCCUAAACCCUACCUACCCUAAACCCUUUCUAACCCUAAACCCUACCUAACUUUAAACCUCUUCUAAUCCUAAACCUGACCUAACCCUAAAACUUGCCUAACCCUAAAUCCUACCUAACCCUAAACCCUUUCUAGCCUUAAAUCCUAUUAACCCUACUAACCCUAAACCCUUUCUAACCCUAAACAAUGCUAACCCUAGACCCUUUCGAACCCUAAACCCUACCUAACCCUAAACCCUACCUAACUCUAAACCCUUUUUAACCCUAAACCCCUUCUAACCCUAAACCUGACCUAACCCUAAACUCUGCCUAACCCUAAAUCCUACCUAACCCUAAACCCUUUCUAGCCUUAAAUCCUACUAACCUUAAACCCUACUAACCCUAAACCAUGCUAACCCUAAACCCUACCUAAUUCUAAACCCUACUAACCCUUAACCCUACCUUACCCUAAAACCUUUCUAACCCUAAACCCUUUCUAACCCUAAACCCUACCUAACCCUAAACCCUACCUAACCCUAAACCCUAAUAACCCUAAACCCUACCUAACCCUAAACCCCACCUACCCUAAACCCUUUUUAUCCCUAAACCCUGCUAACCCUAAACCCUAUCUAAACCUAACCCUAAAACUCUACCUAAACCUAACCAUAAAUACCGCUAAAACUCUACCAACCCU
This 1380-nucleotide long non-coding RNA is filed under the name Brassica napus (rape). Its description in RNAcentral is "long non-coding RNA (BNAP_LNC003971)". The record is from RNAcentral. Lineage: Eukaryota; Viridiplantae; Streptophyta; Magnoliopsida; Brassicales; Brassicaceae.